Molecule: long non-coding RNA, 3076 nt
Organism: Cyprinus carpio carpio
Lineage: Eukaryota; Metazoa; Chordata; Actinopteri; Cypriniformes; Cyprinidae
Source: Ensembl
GAAGAACUGGAGCAUAGAAUAACUAUUGGACCACUGAGACAACAGCGGAUUACUGAUCAAGCCUAUAAUAUUAUCUGCUGAAGGGUUGUAUCUUAUUAUCACCACUGGACUCUUUCCGAAAUGGAGGGAAAAGCUUUUAUUAUAAUGUGCAUUUUUAUUGCAACAGUCCACGCGCAAAGUUCAACAACUCAGUCCACAGUAGAUUCAACAACCGACACCUCUGCAACACCCACAGCUACAAUGACGUCUUCAACAACCACUACAACUCUUGCUGAAUCAUCCACUACUACUGCAGGAGUUACCACGACAGCACCACAAACUACUUUUACAACAGCUGAAUCCUCCACAACAGCUACAACAACAGCAGAUCCUUCAACAACCACUACAACUAUUGCUGAAACAUCCACUACUACUGCAGGAGUUACCACGAUACCACCACAAUCUACUGUUACAACAGCAGAAUCCUCCACAACAGCUACAACAACAGCAGUUCCUUCAACAACCACUACAACUCUAACUGAAGCAUCCACUACUACUGCAGGAACAACCACAACAGCCCCACAAACUACUGUUACAACAGCAGAAUCCUCCACAACAGCAACAACAACAGCAGUGCCCUCAACAACCACUACAACUCUUGCUGAAUCAUCCACCACUACUCCAGGAGUUACCACAACAGCACCACAAACUACUGUUGCAACAGCAGAAUCCUCCACAACAGAUACAACAACAGCAGUGCCCUCAACAAUCACUACAGCUCUUGCUGAAUCAUCCACCACUAUUGCAGGAGUUACCACGACAGCACUACAAACUACUGUUACAACAGUUGAAUCCUCCACAACAGCAACAACAACAACAGUUCCCUCAACAACAAUUACAACUCUUGAUAAAUCAUCCACGACUACUGCAGGAGUUACCACAACAGCCCCACAAACUACUGUUACAACAGUAGAAUCCUCCACAACAUCUACAACAACAACAACAGUGCCCUCAACAACCAUUACAACUGUUGCUGAAUCAUCCACGACUACUGCAGGAGUUUCCACGACAGCACUACAAACUACUGUUACAACAGCAGAAUCCUCCACAACAGCUACAACAACAGCAGUUCCUUCAACAACCAUUACAACUCUUACUGAGGCAUCCACUACUACUGCAGGAGUUACCACAACAGCACCACAAACUACUGUUACAACAGCAGAAUCCUCCACAACAUCUACAACAACAACAACAGUGCCCUCAACAACCAUUACAACUGUUGCUGAAUCAUCGACCACUACUGCAGGAGUUACCACAACAGCACCACAAACUACUGUUACAACAGCAGAAUCCUCCACAACAGCUACAACAACAGCAGUUCCUUCAACAACCAUUACAACUCUUACUGAGGCAUCCACUACUACUGCAGGAGUUACCACAACAGCCCCACAAACUAGUGUUACAACAGCAGAAUCCUCCACAACAGCAACAACAACAGCAGUUCCUUCAACAACCAUUACAACUCUUACUGAGGCAUCCACUACUACUGCAGGAGUUACCACAACAGCACCACAAGCUACUGUUACAACAGCAGAAUCCUCCACAACAGCUAGAACAACAGCAGCAACAUCUGAAACACCAGCAACUUCAUCGCCAACAGGUUCAGCCACAGUCUUUACAUCAAUUAUUGGUACAUCCACCAGUGGUACAGCAAUAACCACAAAAGUGACACAAUCUAAAGUUACUACAGAGUCUACAGCAUCUAACACUUCUACAGAACCUGCAGUGUCUACAGCUGCUAUAGCUUCUACUGUAUCUACAGCUUCAACAGCAUCUACAGCAUCAACAGCAUCUACAACCUCUACAGCAUCUACAGCCUCUACAACAUCUACAACCUCUACAGCAUCUACAACCUCUACAGCAUCUACAACCUCCAAAGCAACUACUGCAAAAAUAAUACCUGAAGUGCUAACAGAUCUAGUGUUUAGCUCUUUUGAGACAUUUAUAGAUGCACUCAGUGAUGUCAACAGUGAGGAGUUUAAGAUUAGGUCUAAACUUGUCAAGGAUGAGCUUGAGCCUGUCUACAAAAUCAAGUAUUCUAACUUCCUCAGAUUGAAUGUCCUAAGAUUCAGAUCAGGGUCAAUCAUCACAUCAACACAACUAGCUUUCAGCUUCAACCAAACUAUCCCAUCUGUUCAAGAGAUUUCAAACACCCUCUUGGAAGCAGUGGGAACAGGGGAUGUCAAUCCAUUAAAGAUAAUCCCUGAAUCAAUUUCAGUCAAUGGUUCAGGUAAGAUGAACUACACACACUACUCAACUCUCAACUCAACUCAACUUUACUUAUAUAGCACCAAUAAAAACAAAAAUUGUAGACCAAGGUGCUGUACUAGAUUUAUAGUCUUCUAUACCUGUAACUAGUCUAUAACUAUGAGUCUAUUGGAAUGUUCAGCUAAUUUGCUUAUGUUUUUAUUACUGCUUCAGCUACAACUGUUGCUCCUGCAACAACUACAACAACCACCACCACAGCAACUACAGUUUCAGGCGGAUUAAAGAUUGAAUCCAGUCUGUUCCAAGCAAUAUGCCUCAUUAUUAUGUCUAAAAUAUUAAGCUUUUUCCUAUAGAUCCCUUAAACAUAUCAACCAAACAUGAGAGUUCAACAAGACACACUGUAACAAAUUAAUUAAACACAAAAUGUAUUUAUUAUUAUUAUUAUUAAAUGUAUAGUAUUUCUCAUUGUAGCACAUUCUCAAAUACUAGUAUUGAGCAACAUAAAGAUAACUUUGAUAAUGCAUUUUUGCUGAAGAAUAUAACAGUAGAUAUCUGUUUAACAGCAGGCUGUUUUCUGGGAGGGAGAAGUAGAUCUUUUUCCUUAUGUAUUUCCUUUAAAUGUAAACAUUGUGAAUGUUGUUUAACAGUUUUGAGGUUAAUACUGUUUAAACUACUUAUUUUUGUUUGUCUAAGUUCUAACAUUGUAAUAUGUAAUAUUUUAAUUAAAUACAAAUAUUUAUUAAAUGAUGUAGUCCAAAAUAUUUUGCUUUCAUAAAAAAAGACUACAAUACAACUACAGCACAAUAAAUACUAUAUAUGCUAAACCUGG